Molecule: long non-coding RNA, 327 nt
Organism: Corapipo altera (White-ruffed manakin)
Lineage: Eukaryota; Metazoa; Chordata; Aves; Passeriformes; Pipridae
Exons: 3
Source: RefSeq, a predicted model, not a curated record
UGCCAGAGCCUGUUCCUGCGGGGGCUGUCGCUGGUGGGGUGGUACCACAGCCACCCCUUCGGGCCGGCGCUGCCCUCGCUGCACGACAUCGACGCGCAGAUGGAUUAUCAGCUCAAGCUGCAGGGCAGCGGCAACGGCUUCCAGCCCUGCCUGGGGCUCAUCUGCGGGCCCUACUUCCACGGCAACCCCGGCGUGGAGUCCCGGAUCGCUCCCUUCUGGGUGAUGCCGCCGCCCGAGCAACGGCCCAACGACUACGGCAUCCCCAUGGAGGUGGAGGUGACCUACAUCCCGGACGGGUUCCUCACCAACGACGUGGUGCAGGAGAUG